RNAcentral lists this ribosomal RNA (262 nucleotides) under uncultured bacterium. RNAcentral describes it as "partial 16S ribosomal RNA". It matches the Rfam family "Bacterial small subunit ribosomal RNA", at positions 515 to 776 of the family's 1533-position model. The record is from RNAcentral.
CCGCGGUAAUACGUAGGUGGCAAGCGUUGUCCGGAAUUAUUGGGCGUAAAGGGCGUGUAGGCGGUUUUUUAAGUCAGGGGUGAAACCCCGGGGCUCAACCCUGAGACUGCCUUCGAUACUGCUGGGCUUGAGUGCUCUAGAGGGUAGUGGAAUUGCCGGUGUAGCAGUGAAAUGCGUAGAGAUCGGCAGGAACACCAGUGGCGAAGGCGACUGCCUGGGGAGUAACUGACGCUGAGGCGCGAAAGCUGGGGGAGCAAACGGG